RNAcentral lists this long non-coding RNA (322 nucleotides) under Homo sapiens (human). RNAcentral's name for it is "HSALNT0141890". The record is from RNAcentral. Lineage: Eukaryota; Metazoa; Chordata; Mammalia; Primates; Hominidae.
GAAAAAUUGGAAAGGUGAGAUAAAGCUAACCUAAUAAUUCUAGUCCCCAGUCAAGAGCCUGGAUAAUAAUGAAUUUGUACUUUCCAGUGACACAGCCUUGUGCUAAGAAUCAAAAUCCUUCUGAAAGCCAGGAUAAAUAGUAGUUCCCAAGACAACUCUGAAGCUGUACAAGCAGAUCCUUUGAGGAAUUUCCAUAAAAUACAAAUGACAACUGCAAAAAUAAGGAGUUCGUUUGAAUCUGCAGAGGGACAUAAAUAAAAAUGAGUGAAAUGAUGUCAAAAAUGAUAGAAAGUAGUUGCAGAAGUAAGUCACUAAAAGGGAG